This 1945-nucleotide long non-coding RNA is filed under the name Felis catus (domestic cat). RNAcentral describes it as "lncRNA (ENSFCAG00000052931.1)". Lineage: Eukaryota; Metazoa; Chordata; Mammalia; Carnivora; Felidae. The record is from RNAcentral.
AUGCUGAGUCAGCCUGUGUGCUUCCCCGGGAAAGACGGGGAGACUCAAGGUUGGGCUAACAGCUCAGGGACUUCUCAUGGCCUGUCCGGGCUUGUCCACUUCCCUCUGGGAAAGCAAGCAAAUGAGUCCUGUUCACAGCACAAAGAAGUUUUGUCCGGUGGAAAAGAGACUCAUGAUUUUACCUUUCUGAGAAUUAUAUCUGAGCAGAUCGCUGGUCCCCAAGGAAUCUACAAAGUCUCUCGCACCAUCCAUCCCUCCUGCCCCCCAAUCUGUUCAGGUGGCACCAGCAGCUGCAACCUCUGGGUCGCCACUGUGCCCAGAACAGACUUCGAGGACAAGCUGCCCUUGUGUGCUUCUCUGCCAGCGUCUCCCUCCAGACUGCCAGCUCCCGAGGGCAGGGGCCGGAUCUGAUUCUUGCUGGAUCUGCAGAGCUCAGUAGAUGCUGUUGAAUGAAUUUAUGAAUAUACUUGGUCUGGACCACACCUCACUGCUGGUGAAAGAGCCUGGUGUAUGGGAAGGGCAAUUCAUUCAUGUGGCCUCUGAGCCUCAGUUUUUGCAUCUGCGAAAUGAGGAUAUUUCCUAUGUGCUGAUGGGAAGGGUGUCUUAAGUAACUGCUGCAUAGUUUCCAUUUUCUUCUUUUAAUUUCUAUCGCCACCUCCCACCCCACCCCCCAGGAUAGUAUGAACAGGAACAGGGUCAUUUCCUCUGGCUCUCCACCCUGCAAGGCCCACAGAAAGUGUCCAGUGACGUACUGCCACCCGGUUCAUAAAUGAGAAGGGGCCAGGGUGCCCACAGCCGGCGGACAAGCAGCAGCAUCUACUCAGCAGAAGCCUUGCACUCCAAUGCUGGGGGGUUGAGGGCAAAGGGAGGGCUGGAGACCCGAACACGAACAGGAACCCCAAGGGAAUAACUGAAGGGAGAGAAUGGCUGGAAGAGGCUGGAUUUCAAGAAGCCACAAGUCCCAGCCCCAGCCCCGGCCCCAGCCCCAGGAACGCACCUGCUUCUCUGGCCCCUCCUUCCCUGAACAGCAUCAUCGGCUGAGAAAACAGACUUCUGAAUUCCUGGGGUUCGGGCGCCAUCUCGUGGCCAUUUCUGAAACUGCCCAUCCCGGCUGAGCAGAGCCCAGAGGUCCAAGAGCAACGGGGGACCAGGCCAACACUCCUCCAACUUUCCUGGCCCCGACCCUCUUCAUCCUCACCUUCUCCCUUCCAUUUAUUGAGCACUGAAUAUAUUCCAGUCUCCGUGUUCAGCCCCUUUCAGGACUUCAUCACGUUUAAUUCUUGGAACAACCUUAAAAGGCAGGUAACACUAGUACCAUUUUACAGACGAUGAAACUGAGGCACAGAGAGGAGAAGGAGGUUUCCCAAGGCCGUACAGCUAAGGAAGUGGGCUAGAAGAGCUCCUCUCUGUACAGGAGAGGGGACAGUGAGGCAUUUGAUCCUGCUGCUUCGGAGACAGUUGGCUUUGCGGUCCUUUAGCUCUAAUUCAAAUACCUUUUUGGUGCUGACUCUGUGCCAGGCCCUGCACUGGGUGCAGUUACUGGGGUCCAGUAACCCCCUCAGUCCCUAUUAACCCCCUCCAUGGCACUUAUCACUGUAUGGUCUGAUUUCCGUCUUAAGUGUCCAUCUCCCACCGAAACUGUGGGCUUCCUGAGACAUAGAGACUGAUAGUCUGUUUUCUUUGCUGCUGCAUCUCUAGAACUCCGAACUGAUCUCAGAACACAGAAUCGGUGCUCCAUUAACAUUUGUGAAUGACCUAACAAAUCAGUGAAUGAGUACAAUUAAAACAAAACAAAACAAAACAAAACAAAAAAACAACUAGGGGCACCUGGCUGGCUUGGUGAGAAGAGCAUGCGACUCUUGAUCUUGGGGUCAUGAGUUCGAGCCCCACACUGGGGGUAGAGAUGACUCAAAAAUAAAAUCUUUAAAAACGUAAAAGAACUACA